GCCAGAAUAAGAUUAAUAUUUAUUUCAACUACUAAUCCAAUUUCAAUAGCCAAAGUAUCUACCACAUCACAAACAAGACAACUCUACAAAAUUAAGCAAGUUGUUGAACAUUUGAAUCCAUUCUAUCAUGAUCUGUACAAGGAUAAGCUGUUGAGUGAACUUUAUCAUCAUCUUCUCUAACAGCAAUUUGGAAAGAAGAAAUAAAAACCUGUCAGCCCUAUGUCCCUUGGUGAAGAUAUCUGCGACCUGUUCCGUAGUAGAAGUAUGAUGAAUAAUUAUAUCCUCAUUUAGCACCUUUUCACGAAAAAAUUGGUAGUCCACUUCAAUAUAUUUAGUUCUAGCAUGAAAAAUAGGAUUCUUAGCUAGUGCAAGAGCACUUUCAUUAUCAUACUAGACAACGGGAGAAGAGAAAAGUGUAACAUCCAAAUCACGAAGAACCUUACGUCACCAAAAAAGUUCAGCAGUAACAAUAGCAAGAGAUGUGUACUCGACUUCAGUAUUAGAUUUGGAAACCAUGGGCUAUUUCUUGGCAGACCAAGAAAUAAGAUUAGAACCAAGAAACACUCCAAAAUCACUACAAGAUUGAUGAUAAGUUACAGUAGGCUGAUAAGUUAUUCUUGCCAGGAUGAUAAAUAAGAUCAUGAGAUGGAGUGUUAUUUAGAUAACGUAGAGCAUGCUUAGUGGCAGUCCAAUGAGACGAAGUUGGUGCAUGCAUAUAUUGACACAAUUAGUCAAUCUCAAGACUAGUCAAAAUGACAUAUUAAAGUGCACCCACCGUUUGGUGAUAUUCAAUUUGAUCAAGUAACAAAUCACCGUCAUGUUUUGAGAUUUUAGAACCAAAGACACAGGGAGCAAUAUCCGGCUUCACACCGGCCAUCUUAGUCCGUUUUAACAGAUUCAUAAUAUAUUUAGUUUAGUAGAGAUGAAGGUCAUCAGUGAUCCAAAUUUCUUCAAUGCCAAGAAAAUAAGAAAGGACACCAAGUUCCUUCACAUCAAAAUCAAUCUUCAUCCUGUCAGUGAUCUCAGAAAUGGAGGUAGAACUGCUACCGAUAAGAAUAAUGUCGUCAACCUAGACUAGCACAAAAAUCUAAGUUCCACAGGAGUGGAACAUAAAUAAAGAUGGACCCGAGUCAGAAUAACGAAAUCCAAUACCAAUCAAAGCACUAGAAAGACAGUGAAACUAAGCUCGAGGGGCUUGUUUCAACCCAUAGAUUGACUUGUGCAAACAGCAUGCCCAAUUAGGAUGACAGAAUCUUCAAAUCCUUUUGGCUACUCCAUACAAACCUCUUCAGUCAAAAAACCAUGUAAAAAUGCAUUUGAUGCAUCAAGUUGCCUGACAUGCCAAUAGAAAGAAACUGCGAGUGCAAGCGCCGAACGCAAGUAGAAGAUUUGACAAUAGGACUAGAUGUUUCAUGAUAGUCAAUACACUAAUUUGAUAUGAACCUUUAGCAACAAGUUUUGUCUUAAAGCUUUCAAUAGAACCAUCUGGCUUCUACUUGAUCUUAAAUACCCACUUAUUGCAUACAAAAUCAAGAUUAUCGGGCCGAGGGCAUAUUCCAUGUUUUAUUCUCAACCAAGGCAAGAAAUUUCCAUAGCAUGAUGAUAAUACGUGCAGGGGGAAUGGAAGGUGAGGGUUGAGGUGCAGAAGUCAUAAGAGAAGGAGAUAGAUCCAAGAGAGGAGAGAUGGGGACAUGAAGGGAAGAAAUGGUUGUGGUGAGAGAUGGAACAAGAGUAUUAGACGUGGUUGUGGACAUAGGAAAACUAAUGGUUGUGUGAAGGGAAGUGAUACUAGAAGAUACAAGAGGAUGAGAAGAUGACAUACCUGGUAAGAACUUAGCUGAAGGCAAGUGUGGAGAAGCCAAAUGUGAGAAAUUUUGAUGCAAGUGGCAAAGUGAGAACAUACUGGAUUUUAGUAGGAAAUUGAAUUUCAUCAAAGACUACAAUUCUGAGAAAUAAAAAUUUUCCUAGUACUAGAAUCAUACGAUCUAUAACUCUUUUGGUAUGAGAAAUAUCCCACAAAAUGCGUGGUUUACUCUCAACUAAGAGCUUAUUAGGCAUGUUAGCAUGAAGCAAUUGGAAGCAUUUACGCCCAAAAAAUUUUGAGAAACUAAAAAUCAGGAUUACAUUGGUAUAGACAAUGAUAAGGAGUAUCAUAGUUUAGCAAUGGAGUAGGUAGACAAUUAAUGAGACAGACAGAAGUUAGAAAUGCAUCAACCCAAAAUUUGUUUGAUAAACCAAAUUGUGCAAGCAAUGUUAAUCCUGUGUCAACAAUUUGUCUAUGUUUGCGUUCAGAGAUUCCAUUUUGUUGAGAUGUAUGGAGACAGGUGAGACAAUGUUCAAUGACAUGUUGAUGGUAAGGAGAGAGAUAAAUAUUCACUACCAAUGUUGCUUUGAAAUUAUUUGAUCAUACUAGAAAAUAAAUUUUCAACAAGAUGCUUAAAUUUAACAGAGCAAGAAAAGACAUUUGAUUUCAUAGAAAUGGAAGACAUCCAGCAAUAAUGACUAUGGUAAUCGAUAAAAAUUACAUAGAAUUUAGAUCCUCCUAAUGAAGAUACUAGAGUUGCCCAAACAUCAGAGUGAAUAAUUUCUAAAGGCCAUGUCAAAAUUCUGGUGGAGACUGAAAAAGGUUGUUGCUUGCAUUUUCCUAGUUGGCAAGGUUCACAAACGAUAGUGGAUACCGGGGAACCAUGAAGGGGAAGAUGACUGUUCUAGAUGAUACGACGAACUAUUGGAAAGGAUGCAUAUGCAAGUCUUAUAUGCCAUAGCUCGAACAACAAGUAAUGCGACGACACGAUUUUUAGUUUAAUUUGAGAGAAGAAUAGCUAAGAUUCAAAGGGUGGAGUCCAUUGACACUUUCGCCCUACAACAAUAUUGUGUUCAUUUGCAAGUCCUUAACAUAAUAUCCGUCGGCAGCAACUUCAAACAUAACUUUGUUAUCGGUACAUAAUUUAUUUAUGGAAAUAAUAGUGGUAGAAACAAUGGGACAAAAAGCAAUGUCUUUUAAGGUAAAAGCAGGAGAAAGAGUGAUAAAUUUAGGAGAUCCAAUUUUGAAAAUAGGAAUGGAGGAACUUGUACCUACUCUACCAAUUGGUGUGAGGAUGCCCAAGAUUGUAAACUUUAGGUGUUACAUGCGUGUUAGAUCCGCUAUCCAAUAUCCAUUGAACAUCAAGAGCAGAGUCAUAUUUCUGAACCACAAAUGCAGCAAGCUCAGCAGGAAAAUACGGCCUUUGGAAUGCAUAAUCGAAGCUCUUAAAGCAAGCAAGAGCUUUAUGAUUGAAUUUGCCGCAUAUCUAACAAGCACAGUCGAACAAGAGCGACACGAUUGUGUUGGGGCUGCCUUGGGAAUAAAAUUCUUAAUGGACCUGGAACCAGUAGAUUAGGGAGAUUUGGAAGCUGAAGGCGUAAGAAAUCGAG
RNAcentral lists this long non-coding RNA (3414 nucleotides) under Olea europaea (common olive). RNAcentral describes it as "long non-coding RNA (OEUR_LNC003166)". Lineage: Eukaryota; Viridiplantae; Streptophyta; Magnoliopsida; Lamiales; Oleaceae. The record is from RNAcentral.